UAUUAAAAAAUUCAUCCAAUUCUAUUAUUAAAAACUUGCAUGGAUGGUGAAAUAAACAAAUAGUUAGUUACAUGUGGCAUGUCACGUCUAACUCAUGCUAAUAUAUAGAGAGUAGUCUUUAACAGUAGAAAUGUAUAAGAUUUUUAAUA
RNAcentral lists this microRNA precursor (149 nucleotides) under Gossypium arboreum. RNAcentral describes it as "MIR7502 microRNA precursor family". It matches the Rfam family "MIR7502 microRNA precursor family". Lineage: Eukaryota; Viridiplantae; Streptophyta; Magnoliopsida; Malvales; Malvaceae. The record is from Rfam by way of RNAcentral.